Molecule: ribosomal RNA, 253 nt
Filed under: uncultured bacterium
Lineage: Bacteria
Description: partial 16S ribosomal RNA
Rfam family: Bacterial small subunit ribosomal RNA
Source: RNAcentral
UACGAAGGGGGCUAGCGUUGCUCGGAAUCACUGGGCGUAAAGCGCACGUAGGCGGCUUCUUAAGUCAGGGGUGAAAUCCUGGAGCCCAACUCCAGAACUGCCCUUGAUACUGAGGAGCUCGAGUCCGGAAGAGGUGAGUGGAACUGCGAGUGUAGAGGUGAAAUUCGUAGAUAUUCGCAAGAACACCAGUGGCGAAGGCGGCUCACUGGUCCGGUACUGACGCUGAGGUGCGAAAGCGUGGGGAGCAAACAGG